Molecule: signal recognition particle RNA, 98 nt
Filed under: Francisella sp.
Lineage: Bacteria; Pseudomonadati; Pseudomonadota; Gammaproteobacteria; Thiotrichales; Francisellaceae
Description: signal recognition particle sRNA small type
Rfam family: Bacterial small signal recognition particle RNA
About the family: The signal recognition particle (SRP) is a universally conserved ribonucleoprotein involved in the co-translational targeting of proteins to membranes.
Source: RNAcentral
GGCGGGCCCCCUCGCAUUAAUCCUUAAGACAGCGGGUCAGGUGUGGAAGCAAGCAGCCCAUCUUAAGUGAAUAAGUGCCGGGGUCUCGGCUCGCCGCC